This is a non-coding RNA of Drosophila suzukii, 814 nucleotides long. The record is from RefSeq and is a predicted model, not a curated record. Lineage: Eukaryota; Metazoa; Arthropoda; Insecta; Diptera; Drosophilidae.
CAUCGAGGCCAGGACACGCGACCCGUGACAGUGUCGAAUUAACCAAAAAAAACCCAAGUGCCAAGUGCCGAGUGAAGAGGCCACAAAAACAACUGACUAACUAACUAACUGCCUCCAGAAACUGUGCGAUUUAAGACCAAAAACAGAAACAUAACUACCAGUGCAUCAGUGCCCGGGAAAAACCUUAAAGCAAACAGCCAGCGAAGUGAAUUAACCAUAAACCAAAGCCCCUAAAAUAAACCGAAGCAGGGCGAAAAAGCGAAAUUUAAACGUCUGUGCAUAUUAAUCAGAACGAGAAACGUGAAACGUGAACAGGAUCAAGUCCUAGACAACUUAUCACAGAGGAUUUACGUGGCACCAGACAGACAGACAGACGCAGGACACGAAUGCGAGUGUGGAGCAGAAGGCGGCGCUAAUCAACGGCCAAAGCAGACGACAACCACGCCCACAGCCCCCUCUUUUCGAACAGAAAAAUAACAAAAAAAAGAAAAGCGAGGAAAAACCAGGAAAACCCGGGAGCUGGAGAGCAGGAGCCGCCUCAUUUGGCCACUGCGGAUUAUGUUAAUUAGAUUUUAAGCACGCGACGACAACGACGCCAGGGGAGCACUUGGCAUUGUAAUGUGACAACAGUUGGCUAAAAACAACAGCAGGACCAAAACCAGGGGCGUCAGGAGUAGCAGGAAUGCUCGCUUUUUAAUUGACAUUUGCUCGAGUUGAGUUGCGUUUUGUUCAACAGCAAUUAGCAUUACGGAGGGGAAAAAACACAACAACAAAAAAAACACUCCGAACAAAACACAAAGGAGCGCAAUUAAAA